AUUGAACGCUGGCGGCAUGCCUUACACAUGCAAGUCGAACGGUAACAGGUCUUCAGAUGCUGACGAGUGGCGAACGGGUGAGUAAUACAUCGGAACGUGCCCAGACGUGGGGGAUAACGAGGCGAAAGCUUUGCUAAUACCGCAUACGAUCUAAGGAUGAAAGCAGGGGACCGCAAGGCCUUGCGCGUUUGGAGCGGCCGAUGGCAGAUUAGGUAGUUGGUGGGAUAAAAGCUUACCAAGCCGACGAUCUGUAGCUGGUCUGAGAGGACGACCAGCCACACUGGGACUGAGACACGGCCCAGACUCCUACGGGAGGCAGCAGUGGGGAAUUUUGGACAAUGGGCGAAAGCCUGAUCCAGCAAUGCCGCGUGCAGGAUGAAGGCCUUCGGUUGUAAACUAGCUUUGUUACGGUAACGAAAAGGACUACUGGCUAAUACCUGGGCGACGAUGACGGUACCGUAA
Molecule: ribosomal RNA, 462 nt
Filed under: uncultured bacterium
Lineage: Bacteria
Description: bacterial SSU rRNA
Rfam family: Bacterial small subunit ribosomal RNA
Source: RNAcentral